AAUAAACCUCAUUAUCUAUGUUGUUCAGGUUUAUGCAAAAAUGUGGUCCUUCAUCGUCACGUGCGUAUUGUAUUUUUCUCAAGUCAACCAAUAGGAAUGUUCAAAAUGUCCUAUUGCUAAAGUCAUGGAUGAGCAAUUGGACAAAACCGUUGCUAUUGGCUGGUUGAGCAAAACUACAAUACGCACGUGACGAUGAAAGACCACAUUUUUGCAUAAACCUGAACAAAAACAUAGAUAGUGAGGU
Molecule: microRNA precursor, 244 nt
Filed under: Paramuricea clavata
Lineage: Eukaryota; Metazoa; Cnidaria; Anthozoa; Malacalcyonacea; Plexauridae
Source: RNAcentral